GACGAACGCUGGCGGCGUGCUUAACACAUGCAAGUCGAACGGAAAGGCCCUGCUUUUGUGGGGUGCUCGAGUGGCGAACGGGUGAGUAACACGUGAGUAACCUGCCCUUGACUUUGGGAUAACUUCAGGAAACUGGGGCUAAUACCGGAUAGGAGCUCCUGCUGCAUGGUGGGGGUUGGAAAGUUUCGGCGGUUGGGGAUGGACUCGCGGCUUAUCAGCUUGUUUGUGGGGUAGUGGCUUACCAAGGCUUUGACGGGUAGCCGGCCUGAGAGGGUGACCGGCCACAUUGGGACUGAGAUACGGCCCAGACGCCUACGGGAGGCAGCAGUGGGGAAUAUUGCACAAUGGGCGGAAGCCUGAUGCAGAAACGCCGCGUGCGGGAUGACGGCCUUCGGGUUGUAAACCGAUUUCGCCUGUGACGAAGCGUGAGUGACGGUAAUGGGUAAAGAAGCACCGGCUAACUACGUG
This 468-nucleotide ribosomal RNA is filed under the name uncultured bacterium. RNAcentral describes it as "partial 16S ribosomal RNA". It matches the Rfam family "Bacterial small subunit ribosomal RNA", at positions 28 to 507 of the family's 1533-position model. The record is from RNAcentral.